GGGGUCUUAGCUCAGCUGGGAGAGCGCCUGCUUUGCACGCAGGAGGUCAUCGGUUCGAUCCCGAUAGGCUCCACCA
RNAcentral lists this transfer RNA (76 nucleotides) under Anoxybacillus flavithermus. RNAcentral's name for it is "tRNA-Ala". It matches the Rfam family "tRNA". From Rfam's summary of the family: Transfer RNA (tRNA) molecules are approximately 80 nucleotides in length. Their secondary structure includes four short double-helical elements and three loops (D, anti-codon, and T loops). The record is from RNAcentral. RNAcentral also lists the same sequence under 5 other names. Lineage: Bacteria; Bacillati; Bacillota; Bacilli; Caryophanales; Anoxybacillaceae.